RNAcentral lists this small RNA (816 nucleotides) under Pongo abelii (Sumatran orangutan). Its description in RNAcentral is "processed transcript". The record is from RNAcentral. Lineage: Eukaryota; Metazoa; Chordata; Mammalia; Primates; Hominidae.
AGAAUGCACCGGCAGUCCGCGGGAAACCAAAAUGGCGAGGGGCUGUAUUGAAGUGGGCUGUGUUUGAGGCCGGUGUAAGAACGCUCAUUCUACCCUCAACCCUUGUCUCCAAGGACCUCGGUUUGUGCGUGCAUAUGUGCCGGGUACCCGGUGGGGCGGGUGCCCAGUAAGUGCUUGGACUCGCAGGGGAAGCGCCCACGGGGACGGAUUGGUUGUUUUUUCCUGUAUGAAGCAGUUGGCACCACUGAAGUGACCGAAUGAGAUUCCUAAAUAUAAAAAUGUAUUUGAAUUCACAUUUUAAAAUUAGUUCACCUGCAACUCUACAGGGGCAGGUAAUUCACUGGUCCACAAGCGGUCUCCUUUACGUCGAAACCAAAAGACCCCAACAUCCUUGACCAAGCUGUCUUUACAGGAUGGACAUAAAGCCAAAAAGCCAGCAUGUAAAUUUGAAGAGGGUCAGGAUGUCCUAGCUAGAUGGUCAGAUGGCUUGUUUUAUCUUGGCACUAUCAAAAAGAUAAACAUAUUGAAACAGAGCUGCUUCAUCAUAUUUGAAGACAGUUCUAAAUCCUGGGUUCUCUGGAAGGACAUUCAAACAGGAGCCACAGGAAGUGGGGAAAUGGUCUGUACAAUAUGUCAAGAAGAGUAUUCAGAAGCUCCCAAUGAAAUGGUUAUAUGUGACAAGUGUGGCCAAGGAUAUCAUCAGUUGUGUCACACACCUCAUAUUGAUUCCAGUGUGAUUGAUUCAGAUGAAAAAUGGCUCUGUCGGCAGUGUGUUUUUGCAACAACAACAAAGAGGGGUGGUGCACUUAAGAAAGG